AUUAGUACGGCGAGUGAGCGGUAAAAGCUCAAAUUUGAAAUCUGGUACUUUCAGUGCCCGAGUUGUAAUUUGUAGAAUUUGUCUUUGAUUAGGUCCUUGUCUAUGUUCCUUGGAACAGGACGUCAUAGAGGGUGAGAAUCCCGUUUGGCGAGGAUACCUUUUCUCUGUAAGACUUUUUCGAAGAGUCGAGUUGUUUGGGAAUGCAGCUCAAAGUGGGUGGUAAAUUCCAUCUAAAGCUAAAUAUUGGCGAGAGACCGAUAGCGAACAAGUACAGUGAUGGAAAGAUGAAAAGAACUUUGAAAAGAGAGUGAAAAAGUACGUGAAAUUGUUGAAAGGGAAGGGCAUUUGAUCAGACAUGGUGUUUUUUGCAUGCACUCGCCUCUCGUGGGCUUGGGCCUCUCAAAAAUUUCACUGGGCCAACAUCAAUUCUGGCAGCAGGAUAAAUCAUUAAGAAUGUAGCUACUUCGGUAGUGUUAUAGCUUUUUGGAAUACUGUUAGCCGGGAUUGAGGACUGCGCUUCGGCAAGGAUGUUGGCAUAAUGGUUAAAUGCCGCCCGUCUUGAACAACGGGACCAAAA
RNAcentral lists this ribosomal RNA (577 nucleotides) under Hanseniaspora uvarum. RNAcentral describes it as "partial large subunit ribosomal RNA". It matches the Rfam family "Eukaryotic large subunit ribosomal RNA", at positions 79 to 664 of the family's 3401-position model. The record is from RNAcentral. Lineage: Eukaryota; Fungi; Ascomycota; Saccharomycetes; Saccharomycodales; Saccharomycodaceae.